RNAcentral lists this ribosomal RNA (648 nucleotides) under uncultured bacterium. RNAcentral describes it as "bacterial SSU rRNA". It matches the Rfam family "Bacterial small subunit ribosomal RNA", at positions 194 to 859 of the family's 1533-position model. The record is from RNAcentral.
UGGGCGAGUAAAGCAGCGAUGCGCUUAGGGAUGGGCCUGCGGCGGAUUAGGUAGUUGGUGGGGUAACGGCCUACCAAGCCGAUGAUCCGUAGGGGGCGUGAGAGCGUGGCCCCCCACACUGGCACUGAGACACGGGCCAGACUCCUACGGGAGGCAGCAGUGAGGAAUAUUGCACAAUGGGCGCAAGCCUGAUGCAGCAACGCCGCGUGAGGGACGAAGGCCUUCGGGUUGUAAACCUCUUUUCUGAGGGACGAGGAAGGACGGUACCUCAGGAAUAAGUCUCGGCUAACUACGUGCCAGCAGCCGCGGUAAAACGUAGGAGGCGAGCGUUAUCCGGAUUUACUGGGCGUAAAGCGCGCGCAGGUGGCUUCGUGAGUCGGACAUGAAAGCUCCUGGCUUAACUGGGAGAGGCUGUUCGAUACUGCGGGGCUUGAGGUUGGGAGAGGGACGCGGAAUUCCCGGUGUAGUGGUGGAAUGCGUAGAUAUCGGGAGGAACACCAGUGGCGCAAGCGGCGUCCUGGCCCACACCUGACGCUGAGGUGCGAAAGCGUGGGUAGCAAACAGGAUUAGAUACCCUGGUAGUCCACGCUGUAAACGAUGUCAACUGGGUGUCGGUAGUUUUACACUAUCGGUGCCGAAGCUAACGCG